Molecule: non-coding RNA, 24 nt
Filed under: Arabidopsis thaliana (thale cress)
Lineage: Eukaryota; Viridiplantae; Streptophyta; Magnoliopsida; Brassicales; Brassicaceae
Source: RNAcentral
CACCAUCACUCGACCAAGCACUCG